AAGAACAAAAGAAACAUCCAUAAUAGCGGAAGCACAGUGUUCGCGAAAGUUCUUUGAGAGGACAUAAUUCAAUAAAGCCAGGGGAUCAUCAUCAUUCAAACCCUAGAAGAAUUUACAGGACGAUGUCGCACUUCGGACGAGCCGGACCACCAGAUAUCUCCGAUACCUUUUCUCUCCUCAUCCUCAACAUCACUUUUCGCACAUCGGCCGAUGAUUUGUUCCCGUUGUUUGAUAAGUAUGGCAAGGUUGUUGAUAUCUUUAUCCCCAGAGAUCGAAGGACUGGUGAAUCACGUGGGUUUGCAUUUGUACGGUACAAAUAUUCAGAUGAAGCACAGGAUGCUGUUGAUAAUCUAGAUAGGAGAGUGGUUGAUGGUAGAGAAAUCACUGUGCAGUUUGCAAAGUAUGGGCCAAAUGCUGAACGCAUUCAUCAGGGCAGGAUCAUUGAGAAGUCUCCUAGACCUGGUUUGAGAUCUAGAAGCCCUCCAAGAAGGUCCAGGGAUGAUUACUACAGGGAUAGGGACAGGGAUUACAGGAGGAGAAGCCGAAGUAGGAGCUUUGAUAGGUAUCGUGGCAGGGAAAAGCAUCAUCGUUAUCGAAGCAGGAGCCGCAGUAUAAGCCCAGACUAUGAAAGAGAAUGCAGGAGGAGCCGUUAUGAUUAUGAUGAACGCAGGAGGAGGAGUUCGCGGGAAAGCCUCAGUCCUCGAAGAAGUUUAACACCUCGGAGGUCCCCAUCUCCUAGAGGUAGGAGUCCAUAUAGACGCAGCCACCAUAGGCGAUCUCCUACUCCUCAGAGUCUUACACCAAGAGAUCGCAAAUCUUACUCAAGGAGUCCUAUUUCCAACAAUCAGUGACCUGCAACAGUUAUUCAGCAUCUGGAGGAAGUGAGAAAUCAUCUUGUGUUGGCCUUCUGCGAUGGAUUAGACUUUGAUCCUGAUCUACUAGAGUUACAAGUGCUAGUUUGCUAUGUUCGAAGAAAGAAUGAAUGAGGCUGGGGGUUGCGGUGAUAUGAAUGUUGUGCAAUUAAUGAUUGAUAGAUGAAUGAUCCUGGUUUGAGUAGCAGAAUGAUCGUAGGGUUAUCAUGGUUUGAGUAGCAGAAUGAUCGUAGGGUUAUCAUUAGUAGAUGAAUGAUCAUGCAUUGAAUAGCGGAAUGCGGUUCCAGAGACAACUAUGAAAUGAGUUUGUCUUUAAAUGAGCCUGUGAUGGGUAAGCGUUUAAAGUUCAGUAUUUAUUCUGAACCCAUGAUUAUCUUUUUAAAAUCAGUUAUUAACCUGGUUAUCACUUAUGAUUUUGAUGCUAAAACUGAUAAUAAAGUAUGUACAGUUAGAAAGUGAAAAAUAAUUGUUGCUGCCUUAAAGGUGGAAAGAGUAUGUUGUUUCAGCUGGUAGAUGCUGUUGCGUUUUUGGUGGAUAUAUGAUCCGUUUCACUGAUGCGGAUAAUAACUAUAUGGAGCACACGUUUUUUUUGGAUGAAUGCACAUGUUAUGGGGCGGUGACAGGUUAACAAAAUAUUGUUUAUUUUUUUGCAUAUGAUCAAAAACUUUAUCGUUUAAAACACCUGUGAUUUUUAUAUUAAUAUUUCAUCAGCAAACUCUGAUUUUGAUUAUUUCUCUGAGUUGUUUUGGUACGUGGGUGCGUCGGCCGUAUCUGUGGAGUUUGAUUUGAUGUUUCUGCCGUUUGUGUGAUGUUUUUCUGGAAGCUGGUUCUUCUUUAUCUUCUGGUGGGGUUUCUGUGAAAUUUCACGUUGCAGGUGAAUGCCAUUGCAGGUGAAUGCCACCUUGCUGCCUUGCUGAAGUAGGAAGUUCAAGGUUGGGCUUCCUGUAAUAUUUGUGUUCUCUGCUGUAGGGUGGGGAUUCUGUGUCUUUCAAUAUUUUGUAGGAAGUGUUAAGGGGGGAUUCAGAGUGUUUUCUGAAUGGUCCUCCAGAAAACCAUUGUUCUAUGGUUAAAAAGAGGGUGACUGUCUCAAUUUAAGCACCUAGGAUUUGUGAUUUAAUUUUACUUUCAAGAUGAUAUUUAAGGUGAUGACCUAGUUAAUCCAUACUUGCGUCUUAUGGGCUUACUAGGUGAUCAGCCUUCUCUUGUUACAUUAAUUACAAUUUUGUUUAAGGAAAGAUGUGGGAAACCCUUGAUCUUUGUAAAAUGGUGAUAUUUGAUUCA
Daucus carota subsp. sativus is the source of this 2153-nucleotide RNA transcript. It is a transcript of the gene named serine/arginine-rich splicing factor SC35, with no coding region annotated. The transcript is spliced from 9 exons. The record is from RefSeq and is a predicted model, not a curated record. Lineage: Eukaryota; Viridiplantae; Streptophyta; Magnoliopsida; Apiales; Apiaceae.